RNAcentral lists this ribosomal RNA (468 nucleotides) under uncultured bacterium. RNAcentral describes it as "partial 16S ribosomal RNA". It matches the Rfam family "Bacterial small subunit ribosomal RNA", at positions 28 to 507 of the family's 1533-position model. The record is from RNAcentral.
GACGAACGCUGGCGGCGUGCUUAACACAUGCAAGUCGAACGGAAAGGCCCUGCUUUUGUGGGGUGCUCGAGUGGCGAACGGGUGAGUAACACGUGAGUAACCUGCCCUUGACUUUGGGAUAACUUCAGGAAACUGGGUCUAAUACCGGAUAGGAGCUCCUGCUGCAUGGGGGGGGUGGGAAAGUUUCGGCGGUUGGGGAUGGACUCGCGGCUUAUCAGCUUGUUGGUGGGGUAGUGGCUUACCAAGGCUUUGACGGGUAGCCGGCCUGAGAGGGUGACCGGCCACAUUGGGACUGAGAUACGGCCCAGACUCCUACGGGAGGCAGCAGUGGGGAAUAUUGCACAAUGGGCGGAAGCCUGAUGCAGCAACGCCGCGUGCGGGAUGACGGCCUUCGGGUUGUAAACCGCUUUCGCCUGUGACGAAGCGUGAGUGACGGUAAUGGGUAAAGAAGCACCGGCUAACUACGUG